GGAGGCGUGGCAGAGCGGUUGAAUGCAGCUGACUUGAAAUCAGCCAUGUCCGCAAGGGCAUCGUGGGUUCGAAUCCUACCGCCUCCGCCA
Molecule: transfer RNA, 90 nt
Filed under: Rhodocyclaceae bacterium
Lineage: Bacteria; Pseudomonadati; Pseudomonadota; Betaproteobacteria; Rhodocyclales; Rhodocyclaceae
Description: tRNA-Ser
Rfam family: tRNA
About the family: Transfer RNA (tRNA) molecules are approximately 80 nucleotides in length. Their secondary structure includes four short double-helical elements and three loops (D, anti-codon, and T loops). Further hydrogen bonds mediate the characteristic L-shaped molecular structure. tRNAs have two regions of fundamental functional importance: the anti-codon, which is responsible for specific mRNA codon recognition, and the 3' end, to which the tRNAs corresponding amino acid is attached (by aminoacyl-tRNA synthetases). tRNAs cope with the degeneracy of the genetic code in two manners: having more than one tRNA (with a specific anti-codon) for a particular amino acid; and 'wobble' base-pairing, i.e. permitting non-standard base-pairing at the 3rd anti-codon position.
Source: RNAcentral